GUGCUUGCUUUGGCAGCACAUACACUAAAAUUGGAAUGAUACAGAAAAGAUUAGUAUGGACCUUGUGCAAGGAUGACAUGCAAAUUCAUGAAGCAGGAUAUGGAAAA
This is a small nuclear RNA of Sarcophilus harrisii (Tasmanian devil), 107 nucleotides long. Lineage: Eukaryota; Metazoa; Chordata; Mammalia; Dasyuromorphia; Dasyuridae. The record is from Ensembl.